Molecule: ribosomal RNA, 372 nt
Filed under: uncultured bacterium
Lineage: Bacteria
Description: bacterial SSU rRNA
Rfam family: Bacterial small subunit ribosomal RNA
Source: RNAcentral
UACGUAGGGUGCGAGCGUUAAUCGGAAUUACUGGGCGUAAAGCGUGCGCAGGCGGAGGAUUAAGUCAGUGGUGAAAGCUGGUAGCUUAACUAUCAAAUUGCCAUUGAAACUGAUUUUCUCGAGUACGAUUGAGGUAGCUGGAAUGUAACAUGUAGCGGUGAAAUGCAUAGAUAUGUUACGGAACACCAAUUGCGAAGGCAGGCUACUAAGUCGUAACUGACGCUGAGGCACGAAAGCGUGGGGAUCAAACAGGAUUAGAUACCCUGGUAGUCCACGCUGUAAACGUUGCAUACUCGGUCUUAGCGAUAUACAGUUAGGGCCUAAGCGAAAGCAUUAAGUAUGCCACCUGGGGAGUACGGUCGCAAGAUUGAA